UACGUAGGCAGCGAGCGUUGUUCGGAGUUACUGGGCGUAAAGAGUGCGUAGGCGGUUUUCUAAGUUUGGUGUGAAAUCUCCCGGCUUAACUGGGAGGGUGCGCCGAAAACUGGAAGGCUUGAGUAUGGGAGAGGUAAGCGGAAUUCCUGGUGUAGCGGUGAAAUUCGUAGAUAUUCGCAAGAACACCAGUGGCGAAGGCGGCUCACUGGCCCGAUACUGACGCUGAGGCACGAAAGCGUGGGGAGCAAACAGG
This 253-nucleotide ribosomal RNA is filed under the name uncultured bacterium. RNAcentral describes it as "partial 16S ribosomal RNA". It matches the Rfam family "Bacterial small subunit ribosomal RNA", at positions 524 to 776 of the family's 1533-position model. The record is from RNAcentral.